CUUUUAAUUUAAGUAUGGUUAACAAUAUCUGGACUACAGGUUGCAGCCAUGGAAAGGAGGAAAGCAAAACUUAACAACAAUUUUGUUCAAUCUUUAUCACUUGAUCAAAGUCCAUUCAGGAACGUUUUAAGAGAAUCUACCUGACUAGACACUUUCUAAGGUCCAAGAGUCACAAUUUCAAUGGGUAGAGAGUGUUACAAAGAUUUGGACUGAUGUUCAUAUUUGCCUUAGUGAGAAGAAAAGGCUCAAAUGGAUCUAGUUGUGGUCCUGUACUCUGCCUCUCCUCUUUGCUUCUCCUUUCCCUCUAGAAACUGACUUAUAUGAAGGGGAAGCUCCCUCCUGGCCCACUACUCUCCCAAUUAUUGGAAAUAUCCUAUUAGUAACAAUUAAGGACAUCAGAAAAUCCUUAAGCAAUGAGUCAUUUUCAGCAAUGGAAAGACAUGGAGGGAUCUCCAAUGCUUCUCCCUCAUGACCCCGAGGAAUUUUGGGAUGGGGAAGAGGAGCAUUGAGGACUGCGGUCAGGAGGAAGUUCACUGGUGGAGGAGCUGAAAAAAAACAAGGAUUGGUGAGUCUUUAUGCUGUAUCACUGACCUUCUCAAAAUGCCCUCUUGUCUAAUGACAAAUCUGGAGAG
RNAcentral lists this long non-coding RNA (632 nucleotides) under Dasypus novemcinctus (nine-banded armadillo). RNAcentral describes it as "lncRNA (ENSDNOG00000051586.1)". Lineage: Eukaryota; Metazoa; Chordata; Mammalia; Cingulata; Dasypodidae. The record is from RNAcentral.